RNAcentral lists this long non-coding RNA (1050 nucleotides) under Coturnix japonica (Japanese quail). RNAcentral's name for it is "lncRNA (ENSCJPG00005013851.1)". The record is from RNAcentral. Lineage: Eukaryota; Metazoa; Chordata; Aves; Galliformes; Phasianidae.
CUAAGAGAUAGACAGAAAUACAGACAGAAAGAGUUUGGAUACCUGCAGUGCAUUUACCUCUACUGGCAGAUAAGUCCCUAUCCAGCUCCUCACUCCCCCACAGAGGGAUGAGGGAGAGAAUCAAAGGGCAAAAACACAGGUAAAAAAAGUUCAUGGGACAAAAUUAAAUCAGUUUUGUAAGUGAGAAGGGAGAAAGAAGAAGUCAUACAAAGACAAUUACUAGCUAUCAGUAGAUCAGCAUUUCUUAGGCAACAGCUACUUUGGGAAAAUCUCCUUUUAGUUUAGCAUGAUAUCCUGCGGUAUGGAAUACCCUUUGGGCCAGUUCAUGUCAGCUGUCCCAGCUGGGUCCUCUCCCAGCGCUCUGCCCACCAUCAGCCUAUGCACUGGGACAGAGGAGUAAGAAAUAGAGGUCUUCUGUACUGUGAGCAGUGUGCAACAGUAGGUAAACCAUCAGUAUGUUAUCAGCACUGAUUGGAUCAGCCCUCUAGAACACAUCAACAUAUGGCUACAGUGAAGAAGGCUGUUUCCAUCCCAGGAAAAUCCAGUACAAUGCCUCUCAUGGAAUAGGUAUAUAUGCUCUUUCUGGAAACUCACACAGGACAGCAUUAUUUUUGUCCAUUAUCAGUUGCACAGAGCUGGUUUAGCACACUGAAGGUAUUCCCUGGCUAGAACCAGGUAUCUUUUGGUAUUACUCUUCUUAUCCAUAGUCUUAAAAUUUCAGAUUGUAGCUAGUCAUUCAUACAGGUAAGGGAGGACUCAUUUGCUCUACAAAAUAGAAAGAAAAUACACACAGAGAUCAUGAAAAUAGUCUUCUUUUUUUUUUUUUUUGUCUUUUUUAAAGAAGCUUACGUUGCAUUCAAAUUGGUGAGAGCCCACUUGCCUGAAUAUGCUUUAAAAUAUCCCAUGUCUCUGUAUGUUUAGAUUUGUUCUCUAAUUCCAACUAACUUUGGGCAGAGAUGAGAUACGAGAUACUUCUACUUUUAUGAACAUCAAAAAGACAUCUGAAGAUCAAAAAGUGCCAAAUAAUCCUUUCGGAAAGUGGAUUAAAAC